RNAcentral lists this ribosomal RNA (446 nucleotides) under uncultured bacterium. Its description in RNAcentral is "SSU rRNA". It matches the Rfam family "Bacterial small subunit ribosomal RNA", at positions 26 to 518 of the family's 1533-position model. The record is from RNAcentral.
AGAACGAACGCUGGCGGCAUGCCUAACACAUGCAAGUCGAACGAGACCUUCGGGUCUAGUGGCGCACGGGUGCGUAACGCGUGGGAAUCUGCCCUUAGGUACGGAAUAACAGUGAGAAAUUACUGCUAAUACCGUAUGAUGUCUUCGGACCAAAGAUUUAUCGCCUAGGGAUGAGCCCGCGUUGGAUUAGCUAGUUGGUGGGGUAAAGGCCUACCAAGGCGACGAUCCAUAGCUGGUCUGAGAGGAUGAUCAGCCACACUGGGACUGAGACACGGCCCAGACUCCUACGGGAGGCAGCAGUGGGGAAUAUUGGACAAUGGGCGAAAGCCUGAUCCAGCAAUGCCGCGUGAGUGAAGAAGGCCUUAGGGUUGUAAAGCUCUUUUACCCGGGAAGAUAAUGACUGUACCGGGAGAAUAAGCCCGGCUAACUCCGCGCCAGCAAGCCGC